GAUCAACGCUGGCGGCGUGCCUAAUGCAUGCAAGUCGAGCGCGGGCCCCUUCGGGGGUGCUGCGCGGCGGACGGGUGCGUAACACGUGGGCAACCUGCCCUGGGGUGGGGGAUAGCCGUG
Molecule: ribosomal RNA, 120 nt
Filed under: uncultured bacterium
Lineage: Bacteria
Description: partial 16S ribosomal RNA
Rfam family: Bacterial small subunit ribosomal RNA
Source: RNAcentral